Molecule: ribosomal RNA, 114 nt
Filed under: Saimiri boliviensis boliviensis (Bolivian squirrel monkey)
Lineage: Eukaryota; Metazoa; Chordata; Mammalia; Primates; Cebidae
Source: RNAcentral
GUCUACGGCCAUACCACCCUGAAUCCGCCCGAUCUCGUCUGAUCUUGGAAGCUAAGCAGGGUUGGGCCUGGCUAGUACUUGGAUGGGAGAUUAAAAAUUGGGAGAUUAAAAAUG